AUGAGGAAUGGUGGCAAGAGAGGCUAUCCAUGUUGUCAUCAACUCCAAUGUACUAUUCCCGACGACAUGUCAGGACGUACGAUUUUUAAGUUAGAGAGUGGCCACACAGCAGGCUGCAGAGCCUGGACAUUUGGCCUGCAGUUGGUUGACCGCGAAGGUUUCUCCCCAUCCGAGCCAGUUCCAAUUUGUUCUACAAGCCAAGGCCAGGGCAAUGAAAAUGGUCAAUUCACUCCACCACCUAGCUGUAAAAUAAUUCCUGAUGCCUUUCAAGCCGAGACAAUUUGUAUAAAUAUGCCAUGCACUUACUACUUUAUGGAUAUAUGGGAUGCCCUCUGUUCAUUGUUGCUAGAGGCGAGGGAGCGACCACUAUUUAUCGAUUGGGAAUGUGUGAAAUCAAGGUGCCUCUCUGGGCCACCACAUUGCAUGGCUUUUAUGGGCUACUACUAUUUUAGCACAUGGGGCAGCUUCUCAAGGCAGCUUUGA
This 483-nucleotide ribosomal RNA is filed under the name Triticum aestivum (bread wheat). Its description in RNAcentral is "partial small subunit ribosomal RNA". The record is from RNAcentral. Lineage: Eukaryota; Viridiplantae; Streptophyta; Magnoliopsida; Poales; Poaceae.